Long non-coding RNA from Pieris brassicae (large cabbage white), 638 nucleotides. RefSeq lists it as uncharacterized. Lineage: Eukaryota; Metazoa; Arthropoda; Insecta; Lepidoptera; Pieridae. The transcript is spliced from 3 exons. The record is from RefSeq and is a predicted model, not a curated record.
CAUCUAUAUCCGAAUUCUGGAAAAGGAUGAACCCUCAGUGGUAGCUGCCGCCACAGUAACUACUGCCAGUACAUCGGGGACGGGAUCCUCGGGGCCAAAGCCGCCCUCGUCAACGACGGAGAUAGCCGCGGUUGCCGAGGAGACAGGGGGGAGUGAAUUCAGCGACAGCUGUUUGCGCUCCUCCCCCUAACCGGACUGACCUUAUCCAGACCAACCUCCAGCACAGCCAAACAGCGUCGGCUUCACUACGCAGACUGCUGGAGACCAACCCGAAGACCAUUGCCGCGAUCCAGGAGCCGUGGAUCAGGAAUGGCAAGGUAUGCGGCCUGGGUAACACCGGUGGUAAACUUUUGCUGGAUACCUCAGGACCUUACAACCAUUAGGUUACCUAGGGACGCACAUCCAGACAUCGUCCUGGCGUCCGCCUACCUACCGGGUGACGAGGACGUGCCCACUCCAGAACUCGGCCUUCUGGCUGACUACUGUGAGAGGGAGAAACUGGAGCUUAUAAUCGCAGCAGACUCCAACGCGCACCACACGCUAUGGGGUAAUGCAAAUACCAACGCUCGAGGUGAGAAUAUGCUUAACUUCAUUCUUAGCAAUAAUCUUAUCUUAGCAAACAGCGGCUCUGAACCAAC